AUUUCUCUGAGAUGUUUGCAAGCGGGCCAGUCCCCUGAGCCGAUAUUUCAUACCACAAGAAUGUGGCGCUCCACGGUUGGUGAGCAUGCUCGGUCCGUCCGAGAAGCCUUAAAACUGUGACGACACAUUCACCUUGAACCAAGGGUUCAAGGGUUACAGCCUGCGGCGGCAUCUCGGAGAUUCC
RNAcentral lists this non-coding RNA (184 nucleotides) under Citrobacter freundii. RNAcentral's name for it is "6S RNA". It matches the Rfam family "6S / SsrS RNA". Rfam says of the family: E. coli 6S RNA was the first non coding RNA to be sequenced, but its function was unknown until recently. RNAcentral also lists the same sequence under 54 other names. The record is from RNAcentral. Lineage: Bacteria; Pseudomonadati; Pseudomonadota; Gammaproteobacteria; Enterobacterales; Enterobacteriaceae.